RNAcentral lists this ribosomal RNA (946 nucleotides) under uncultured archaeon. Its description in RNAcentral is "bacterial SSU rRNA". It matches the Rfam family "Archaeal small subunit ribosomal RNA", at positions 84 to 1035 of the family's 1478-position model. The record is from RNAcentral.
UACGGCUCAGUAACACGUGGACAACCUACCCUGAGGAGGGGGAUAACCCCGGAAAACUGGGGAUAAUACCCCAUAGAUUAGGGAGGCUGGAAUGCCCCCUAGUUCAAAGGUCCGCCGCCUCAGGAUGGGUCUGCGGCCGAUUAGGUUGUUGUUGGGGUAACGGCCCAACAAGCCUUUGAUCGGUACGGGUUGUGGGAGCAAGAGCCCGGAGAUGGAUUCUGAGACACGAAUCCAGGCCCUACGGGGCGCAGCAGGCGCGAAAACUUUACAAUGCGAGAAAUCGUGAUAAGGGAACCCCGAGUGCCCGUAAAUUCGGGCUGUCCGCCAGUGCAAAAAACUGGUGAAGAAAGAGCCGGGCAAGACCGGUGCCAGCCGCCGCGGUAAUACCGGCGGCUCGAGUGGUGGCCACUAUUACUGGGCUUAAAGCGUCCGUAGCUUGGUUGUUAAGUCUUCUGGGAAAUCCAUCGGCUCAACCGAUGGGCGUUCAGGAGAUACUGGCAACCUAGGGACCGGGAGAGGUGAGAGGUACUCCAGGGGUAGGAGUGAAAUCCUGUAAUCCUUGGGGGACCACCUGUGGCGAAGGCGUCUCACUAGAACGGCUCCGACAGUGAGGGACGAAAGCUGGGGGAGCAAACCGGAUUAGAUACCCGGGUAGUCCCAGCUGUAAACGAUGCGCGUUAGGUGUAUCGGUGACCACGAGUCACCGAGGUGCCGAAGGGAAACCGUGAAACGUGCCGCCUGGGAAGUACGGUCGCAAGGCUGAAACUUAAAGGAAUUGGCGGGGGAGCACCACAACAGGUGGAGCCUGCGGUUUAAUCGGACUCAACGCCGGGAAGCUCACCGGAUAAGACAGCUGAAUGAUAGCCGGGUUGAAGACUCUGCUUGACUAGCUGAGAGGAGGUGCAUGGCCGUCGUCAGUUCGUACUGUGAAGCAUCCUGUUAAGUC